RNAcentral lists this unclassified non-coding RNA (385 nucleotides) under fungal sp. Its description in RNAcentral is "partial internal transcribed spacer region". The stretch from base 1 to 46 matches the Rfam family "Eukaryotic small subunit ribosomal RNA", at positions 1786 to 1831 of the family's 1831-position model. Lineage: Eukaryota; Fungi. The record is from RNAcentral.
AAGUCGUAACAAGGUUUCCGUAGGUGAACCUGCGGAAGGAUCCUCGCAUCAACGCUUGUAUACCAAUAUUCAAACUCAACGUGCAAUGUAACGUCCCUAGCUGGACUCGCGUCAAUUAAUUUAUUAGUUGAAUCGGGUGCAGUUAGACAAUACCCCCCAGUUAGAAUUCUGCGGUUGCUGCUAAAUUUAUUUAGGGGUGGCUGUCAGAUUUUAACGUUAUUCACCAAUUCUUUAACCCUAUAAACUAAAUGUUUGUCUUAUCUUCUUCAGACUGAAUUGAGAUUCGAGUUGGAUUGAGAAUUUAUUCUUUCUUCCCACUUGCACUCUUAUUUUAGCUUUGUUACGAAAUAUUGAACAACUCUUAGCAAUGGAUAUCUUGGGUCAU